Molecule: ribosomal RNA, 316 nt
Filed under: uncultured eukaryote
Lineage: Eukaryota
Description: partial 18S ribosomal RNA
Rfam family: Eukaryotic small subunit ribosomal RNA
Source: RNAcentral
CCCCUAGAUGUUCUGGGCCGCACGCGCGCUACACUGAACAGUUCAACAAGUCUUAACCUUGGCCGAUAGGUCUGGGUAAUCUUUGAACGCUGUUCGUGAUUGGGAUAGACCUUUGCAAUUUUUGGUCUUCAACGAGGAAUUCCUAGUAAACGCAAGUCAUCAACUUGCAUUGAUUACGUCCCUGCCCUUUGUACACACCGCCCGUCGCACCUACCGAUUGAAUGGUCCGGUGAAGCCUCCGGAUUGGCGUGCACCCUCGGGUGCUGCCGAGAAGUUGGCUAAACCUUACCAUUUAGAGGAAGGUGAAGUCGUAACA